AUAACUGCUAGAUCUGACGUUACCUAAAGAAUCAGCACCGGCUAACUCUGUGCCAGCAGCCGCGGUAAUACAGAGGGUGCAAGCGUUAAUCGGAAUUACUGGGCGUAAAGGGUCUGUAGGCGGAUUAUUAAGUCGGAUGUGAAAUCCCCGGGCUCAACCUGGGAACGGCAUUCGAUACUGGUAGUCUAGAGUGUGCAAGAGGAUGGGGGAAUUCCUGGUGUAGCAGUGAAAUGCGUAGAGAUCAGGAGGAACAUCAAUGGCGAAGGCACCUUUCUGGGGCAACACUGACGCUGAGAGACGAAAGCGUGGGGAGCAAACAGGAUUAGAUACCCUGGUAGUCCACGCCCUAAACGAUGUCAACUAACUGUUCGGAGUCACUAAGAUUCUGAGUAGUGAAGCUAACGCGAUAAGUUGACCGCCUGGGGAGUACGGCCGCAGGGUUGAAACUCAAAGAAAUUGACGGGGGCCCGCACAAGCGGUGGAGUAUGUGGUUUAAUUCGAUGCAACGCGAAGAACCUUACCCGGUCUUGACAUGGUAGGAAUCUUGUAGAGAUACGAGAGUGCCUUCGGGAACCUACACACAGGUGCUGCACGGCUGUCGUCAGCUCGUGUCGUG
This 616-nucleotide ribosomal RNA is filed under the name uncultured bacterium. RNAcentral's name for it is "bacterial SSU rRNA". It matches the Rfam family "Bacterial small subunit ribosomal RNA", at positions 456 to 1069 of the family's 1533-position model. The record is from RNAcentral.